AUUGAACGCUGGCGGCAGGCCUAACACAUGCAAGUCGAGCGGAUGAAGGGAGCUUGCUCCUGGAUUCAGCGGCGGACGGGUGAGUAAUGCCUAGGAAUCUGCCUGGUCGUGGGGGAUAACGUCCGGAAACGGGCGCUAAUACCGCAUACGUCCUGAGGGAGAAAGUGGGGGAUCUUCGGACCUCACGCUAUCAGAUGAGCCUAGGUCGGAUUAGCUAGUUGGUGGGGUAAAGGCCUACCAAGGCGACGAUCCGUAACUGGUCUGAGAGGAUGAUCAGUCACACUGGAACUGAGACACGGUCCAGACUCCUACGGGGGGCAGCAGUGGGGAAUAUUGGACAAUGGGCGAAAGCCUGAUCCAGCCAUGCCGCGUGUGUGAAGAAGGUCUUCGGAUUGUAAAGCACUUUAAGUUGGGAGGAAGGGCAGUAAGUUAAUACCUUGCUGUUUUGACGUUACCAACAGAAUAAGCACCGGCUAACUUCGUG
Molecule: ribosomal RNA, 484 nt
Filed under: uncultured bacterium
Lineage: Bacteria
Description: partial 16S ribosomal RNA
Rfam family: Bacterial small subunit ribosomal RNA
Source: RNAcentral